Molecule: ribosomal RNA, 492 nt
Filed under: uncultured bacterium
Lineage: Bacteria
Description: partial 16S ribosomal RNA
Rfam family: Bacterial small subunit ribosomal RNA
Source: RNAcentral
AUUGAACGCUGGCGGCAUGCUUUACACAUGCAAGUCGAACGGUAACAGGCCUUCGGGUGCUGACGAGUGGCGAACGGGUGAGUAAUGCAUCGGAACGUGCCCAGAGGUGGGGGAUAACGCAGCGAAAGCUGUGCUAAUACCGCAUGUGAUCUGAGGAUGAAAGCGGGGGACCAAGCAGCAAUGUUUGGCCUCGCGCCUCUGGAGCAGCCGAUGUCAGAUUAGGUAGUUGGUGGGGUAAAGGCCUACCAAGCCGACGAUCUGUAGCUGGUCUGAGAGGACGACCAGCCACACUGGGACUGAGACACGGCCCAGACUCCUACGGGAGGCAGCAGUGGGGAAUUUUGGACAAUGGGCGCAAGCCUGAUCCAGCAAUGCCGCGUGCGGGAAGAAGGCCUUCGGGUUGUAAACCGCUUUUGUACGGAACGAAAAGGCUCUGGCUAAUACCUGGGGCUGAUGACGGUACCGUAAGAAUAAGCACCGGCUAACUACGUG